Molecule: ribosomal RNA, 271 nt
Filed under: uncultured bacterium
Lineage: Bacteria
Description: partial 16S ribosomal RNA
Rfam family: Bacterial small subunit ribosomal RNA
Source: RNAcentral
GUCCACGCUGUAAACGAUGAUCACUAGACGUUGGUUCUGCCUAGCAGAAUUAGUGUCGUAGCUAACGCGAUAAGUGAUCCGCCUGGGGAGUACGGUCGCAAGACUAAAACUUAAAGAAAUUGACGGGGUCGCACAAGCGGUGGAACAUGUGGUUUAAUUCGACACUACGCGAGAAACCUUACCUAGGCUUGACAUGUUUUUGACUGUUGUAGAAAUACGACUUUCCAAGUCUUUGACUUGGACAAAUUCACAGGUGCUGCAUGGCUGUCGU